RNAcentral lists this microRNA precursor (91 nucleotides) under Canis lupus familiaris (dog). RNAcentral's name for it is "mir-8799 microRNA precursor family". It matches the Rfam family "mir-8799 microRNA precursor family". Lineage: Eukaryota; Metazoa; Chordata; Mammalia; Carnivora; Canidae. The record is from Rfam by way of RNAcentral. RNAcentral also lists the same sequence under 1 other name.
GGGGGGAGGCCGGAUCCUGGGCUGUGUCCCCGGUACCCUGUGCUCCCGGGCCUGUGCUGUUGGAUUCGUGCUCCCCGCCAGGCAGUCCUGU